Molecule: ribosomal RNA, 379 nt
Filed under: uncultured cyanobacterium
Lineage: Bacteria; Bacillati; Cyanobacteriota
Description: bacterial SSU rRNA
Rfam family: Bacterial small subunit ribosomal RNA
Source: RNAcentral
CGAAAGCCUGACGGAGCAACGCCGCGUGAGGGAUGAAGGCCUCUGGGCUGUAAACCUCUUUUAUCAAGGAAGAAGAUCUGACGGUACUUGAUGAAUAAGCCACGGCUAAUUCCGUGCCAGCAGCCGCGGUAAUACGGGAGUGGCAAGCGUUAUCCGGAAUUAUUGGGCGUAAAGCGUCCGCAGGUGGCUCUGUAAGUCUGUCGUUAAAGCGUGGAGCUCAACUCCAUUUCAGCGAUGGAAACUACAGAGCUUGAGUGUGGUAGGGGCAGAGGGAAUUCCCGGUGUAGCGGUGAAAUGCGUAGAUAUCGGGAAGAACACCAGUGGCGAAGGCGCUCUGCUGGGCCAUAACUGACACUCAUGGACGAAAGCCAGGGGAGCG